UACGUAGGUGGCGAGCGUUGUCCGGAUUUAUUGGGCGUAAAGCGCGCGCAGGCGGUCCGUUACGUCCGUUGUGAAAGCUCCCGGCUCAACUGGGAGAGGUCUUCGGAUACGGGCGGACUCGAGGAAGGUAGAGGAAGGUGGAAUUCCCGGUGUAGUGGUGAAAUGCGUAGAGAUGCGGAGGAACACCAGUGGCGAAAGCGACUUUCUGGUCCUCAACUGACGCUGAGGCGCGAAAGCAUGGGGAGCGAACGGG
RNAcentral lists this ribosomal RNA (253 nucleotides) under uncultured bacterium. Its description in RNAcentral is "partial 16S ribosomal RNA". It matches the Rfam family "Bacterial small subunit ribosomal RNA", at positions 524 to 776 of the family's 1533-position model. The record is from RNAcentral.